Molecule: non-coding RNA, 579 nt
Organism: Centropristis striata (black sea bass)
Lineage: Eukaryota; Metazoa; Chordata; Actinopteri; Perciformes; Serranidae
Source: the annotation of a RefSeq genome assembly
AUGACUUUGAUCUGCGUCCUCAUCUGGACUCUCCUCUGCUGCUGCUUCACAGAGUCCAGAGGACAGUACACAGUGACUCAGCCUGGAGCAGUGAGCUCUGCUCCGGGAGGCUCCGUCUCCAUCAGCUGUAGGAUCAGUCAGAAGGUUUAUGGUGGGAACUAUUUACACUGGUACCAACAGAGAGAUGGAGAAACUCCUAAACUGCUUAUAACUUAUGGUAGCAGUCGUCAGUCAGGGACUCCAGAUCGUUUUACAGGCAGUGGAUCAAACUCUGACUUCACUCUGACCAUCAGUGGAGUUCAGACUGAAGAUGCAGCAGUUUACUACUGUCAGAGUUAUCACUCUAUCAACAGUCAGUAUGUGUUCACACAAGUCAAGAGGACAGUACACAGUGACUCAGCCUGGAGCAGUGAGCUCUGCACGGGAGGCUCUGUCUCCAUCAGCUGUAGGACCAGUCAGAAGGUUCAUAGUGUGAACUAUUUAGCCUGGUACCAACAGAGAGAUGGAGAAACUCCUAAACUGCUUAUUUCUAGUGAAGCACGCUCCUCGUCCAAUCAUACCUUAACAACCGUCACUUAG